GACGAACGCUGGCGGCGUGCUCAACACAUGCAAGUCGAACGGAAAGGCCCUGCUUUUGUGGGGUGCUCGAGUGGCGAACGGGUGAGUAACACGUGAGUAACCUGCCCUUGACUUUGGGAUAACUUCAGGAAACUGGGGCUAAUACCGGAUAGGAGCUCCUGCUGCAUGGUGGGGGUUGGAAAGUUUCGGCGGUUGGGGAUGGACUCGCGGCUUAUCAGCUUGUUGGUGGGGUAGUGGCUUACCAAGGCUUUGACGGGUAGCCGGCCUGAGAGGGUGACCGGCCACAUUGGGACUGAGAUACGGCCCAGACUCCUACGGGAGGCAGCAGUGGGGAAUAUUGCACAAUGGGCGGAAGCCUGAUGCAGCAACGCCGCGUGCGGGAUGACGGCCUACGGGUUGUAAACCGCUUUCGCCUGUGACGAAGCGUGAGUGACGGUAAUGGGUAAAGAAGCACCGGCUAACUACGUG
Molecule: ribosomal RNA, 468 nt
Filed under: uncultured bacterium
Lineage: Bacteria
Description: partial 16S ribosomal RNA
Rfam family: Bacterial small subunit ribosomal RNA
Source: RNAcentral